UACGUAGGGCGCAAGCGUUAUCAGAAUUAUUGGGCGUAAAGAGCUCGUAGGCGGGUUGUCGCGUCUGGCGUGAAAGUCCGGGGCUCAACUCCGGAUCUGCGGUGGGUACGGGCAGACUAGAGUGAUGUAGGGGAGACUGGAAUUCCUGGUGUAGCGGUGAAAUGCGCAGAUAUCAGGAGGAACACCGAUGGCGAAGGCAGGUCUCUGGGCAUUAACUGACGCUGAGGAGCGAAAGCAUGGGGAGCGAACAGG
This 252-nucleotide ribosomal RNA is filed under the name uncultured bacterium. RNAcentral's name for it is "partial 16S ribosomal RNA". It matches the Rfam family "Bacterial small subunit ribosomal RNA", at positions 524 to 776 of the family's 1533-position model. The record is from RNAcentral.